This 214-nucleotide long non-coding RNA is filed under the name Oryza brachyantha (malo sina). Its description in RNAcentral is "long non-coding RNA (OBRA_LNC002998)". The record is from RNAcentral. Lineage: Eukaryota; Viridiplantae; Streptophyta; Magnoliopsida; Poales; Poaceae.
AGGGAGGGGCGGCGGCUAGGGUUUGGGAGGCGUUCGGGCGGAGGGAGCCGGCCGCACGCGGGAUGAUGGGAGGGAGGAAGCAUACUGAUCUGGGCGUCCGAUCCAGCGUAGAUCGAUUCAGACAGUUGGAUGUGUAACAUGAGUAUGAAUACGAGUAAAAUUAGUUGGUGUAAACGAAUCCGAUUCUGAGUGGCAAGUAACAUAAAUUAUCCUU